ACAGGGUAAGUUAAGGGCCUAUGAUGGAUGCCUUGACAUAAAGAGCCGAUGAAGGACGUGGCGUGACUGCGAUAAGCCUCGGGGAGGUGUCUAGCAACCUUUGAUCCGUGGAUGUCCGAAUGGGGAAACCUAGCAUUGUUUAUCAAUGUUGUCCUGAAAAUUUUUUUUCAGGAAGGGAACUCGGGGAAGUGAAACAUCUCAGUACCCGAAGGAAAAGAAAAUAAUCCCGCCAAUGAGGCGGGGAUAUUCCCUAAGUAGCGGCGAGCGAAAUGGGAACAGUCCAAACCUAAUUACCGCAUCUCACUGCGUUUGAUGCGAAUUUCUAAUUAUUAAUUUCUAAUUUCUAAAUAAUGUUUUAAUUUCAUAAUGUUUAAAAAUUAAUUCAUUAAAAAUUUAAUAAAAAUUAAAAAUUGAAAAUUAAAAAUUCCAUUAUAUCGAGCGUAGCGAGAUGUGGUGGUUGGGGGUUGCAAGGUAAUAACACUAUGGAGCUUUAUGUCGGAGCCUGAUAGUAUAUCGGGCUUUGACAAUAAGGCUUCAAAAGGAGUUACAAAAUAAAGGCUAGUUAAUUGAAUCUUGCUGGAAAGCAGAGCCAAAGAGGGUAAAAGCCCCGUAAGUGAAAAUUCCUUUAUCUCCUAGUUAUUAUACUUAAGUACCUCGGGACCAGACUAUCCCGUGGGAAUCCGGCAGUACUAUACUGCCAAGACUAAAUACUCUUUAUGAUCGAUAGCGAACAAGUACCGUGAGGGAAAGGUGAAAAGUAGCCCGGUAAGGGCGGUGAAAUAGAACCUGAAAUCAUAGGCUUACAAAGACUCGGAGCCAUUGCUUCGCAAUGGAAGCACGAAAUUCAAAGCACCAAAUUCGAAACAAAUCUUAAUAAUUAAAUUCUAAAUUUUAAACAUUUGAAUUUAUAGUUUUGAUAUUGUUUGGGAUUUCUGAUUUAGAAUUUUGGAUUUCCAUUGCGGAGCGAUGGUAACGGGGUGCUUUUUGCAGAACGAGCCAACGAGUGUCUUAUAAUAGUUUGUUUAAUCCCUUCUAGGGAGGAGACGUAGAGAAAUCAAGUCUUAAUAGGGCGCAUUUGAUUAUUGUGAGACGACCCGAAGCCAAAGCGAGCUAUCCAUGACCAGGAUGAAGUCUCGACGAAAGUCGGAUGGAGGUCCGCACCCACUGGCCGUACAACACCAGGGGAUGAGUUGUGGAUAGAAGUGAAAAGCUAAUCGAGCUUGGUAAUAGCUGGUUCUUCCCGAAAUAGUUUUAGGGCUAGCCUUUUGUUUACGUCCUAGGGGGUAGAGCACUGGAUGGAGUAUGGAUGGAAUUUAUUCCGCCUACUCCAAUCAAACUCCGAAUACCUAGGAUUAAUUGCAAAGGAGUUAGACUGUGGGGGCUAAGCUCCAUGGUCGAAAGGGAAAAAGCCCAGACUGUCGUUUAAGGUCCCUAAAUUAAACUGAGUGGAAAAGGAAGUGAAGUUUCUCUGACAGCUAGGAGGUUGGCUUAGAAGCAGCCAUCCUUUAAAGAGUGCGUAACAGCUCACUAGUUCAGAGAUUUUGCGCCGAAAAUUUAACGGGGCUAAGUUUAAUACCGAAAACACAGAUGCCAUUGUUUCGCAAUGGAAGCACUAAAUUCUAAUAUCUAAACUCCAAACAAAUUCAAAAUCUCAAUGACCAAAAUUCAAAACAAAUUAAAUUAUCUGUUUUGAACAUUUGAAUUUAGAAUUUGUUUCGUAUUUGUAAUUUUGAAUUUAGGAUUUCCACUGCGAAACAGUGGUGUGGUAGGGAAGCGUUCUUUGCGCAUUGAAGCUAAAUCGUGAGGUUUAGUGGAGUUCAAAGAAGUGAGAAUGUUGGCAUAAGUAACCACAAUACCGAUGAGAUAUCGGUACGCCGAAAACCCAAGGUUUCCUUGGCAAUGAAAAUCAGCCAAGGGUUAGGCGGGCCUAACCUUGUUCCGAUAAAAUCGGACGCAGGGGAUGGACAGACGGUUAAUAUUCCGUCUCUUCAGCAUUUUUUGAUGGGAUGACGAAGUUUAGUAGUCUGAGCGGCUUAUUGGAUUGCCGUUCUUUGCUUGAGGAUGUUCGUUAGGUAAAUCCGGCGAACACGAGGCUUCGGCCUCAUGUCCAAGAGUCGAGAAAAGGUUUUUCUUCGGAAUUUCCGAUUCAGGUGAGCAAGCUUCCAAGAAAAGUCUCUAAAAUUAGAAAUGUUGAAUCCGUACCGCAAACCAACACAGGUGGGUAGGUCGAGUAGACCAAGGCGAACGAGUGAUUCCUCGUGAAGGAACUCGGCAAAGCAGCGGGUGUAACUUCGGAAUAAACCCUCCCACUCAUGCGCAAGCUUUGAGUGGGCGCAGCUAAAGAUUCCUGGCGACUGUUUAUCAAAAACACAGCUCCCUGCUAACUCGCAAGAGGAUGUAUAGGGGGUGACGCCUGACCAAUGCCAGAAGGUUAACGGUUGAGGUGUUCCGAUUUUUAAUCGGAAUGCUGAAGCCCGAAGCCCUGGUGAAUGUCGGCCGUAACUAUAACGGUCCUAAGGUAGCGAAAUUCCUUGACUGGUAAUUUCAGUCCCGCACGAAUGGCGUCACGACUGGGAAACUGUCUCCACGAGGAGCUCGGUGAAAAUGCAGUAGGGGUGAAGAUGCCUCUUACCUGCGGCAAGACGGAAAGACCCCGGAAGCUUUACUAUAGGUUCUCAUUGGAACAUUGUUUUGAAUGCGUAGCAUAGUGGGGAGGCUUUGAAAUCCCGAUUUCGGUCGGGAUGGAGCCGUCAGUGAAAUACCCAUCUUUUAACGUGAUGUUUCUAACUUUGGUUUGAUCCUUAGGACAGUGGGUGCUGGGUAGUUUUAGUGGGGCGCUAGCCUCCUAAAGAGUAACGGAGGCGCUUAUAAGGUCAGCUAGGCCCGGAUGGAAAUCGGGCUGAUAGUGUAAAGGCAUAAGCUGGCUUUACUGCGAGACGGACAUGUCGAGCAGUUGCGAAAGCAGAACUUAGUGAACUGAUAGUGGGUUAUAGAACCGCUAGAGAUUAACGGAUAAAAGCUACUCCGGGGAUAACAGGCUAAUAGCGUCUAAGAGUCCAUAUCGACGACGCUGUUUGGCACCUCGAUGUCGGCUUACCAAAUUUAGGAUAGGCCGCUAUUGGAAGUAAUUCCAAUUGACAAAACUUAACUAAUAACGGUGAAUGCUAUAUAAUAUAGUUAAUACCGUGGGAAGUUAAAGAAAUUUAUGCAAUUAUCUUCUGAACAAAAAAAGAUUCUUAUUGGCACUUUAUUAGGAGAUGCUCAUUUAGAAAAAAAUGGACAUAAUGUUCGUUUAAGAAUUGAUCAUACAGAAAAACAAAAGAAUUAUUUAAAAUGGAAAUAUUCAGAAUUUAGUAAUUUUACUCCAAGUAGUCCAAGAUUAAUUAAAACAAUAGAUAAAAGAUCAGAUAAUGUUUAUAAAAGAUGGCAUUUUUCUACAUAUUCUAUUGAUAUAUUUAAUUCUUAUUGGAAAUUAUUUUAUAAAGAUAAAAUUAAGAUAAUUCCAAAAAAUAUUAUUAAAUUAUUAAAUUCUCCUUUAUCUUUGGCUGUUUGGUAUAUGGAUGAUGGUUAUAAAAGAAAUGAUUGUAAUGCGUUAAGGUUGAGCACAGAUUCAUUCAAACUAGAGGAGCAAAAAAUAUUACAGAAAUGUUUAGAAAAGAAUUUUAACAUAAGAAGCACAUUGCAUAAAAAAAGAGAUUCAUGGAAUAUUUAUAUCCCGAGUUUAGAAGCUACAAAAUUUUGUAGAAUAAUUAAACCGUAUAUUAUUUCAGGAAUGGAAUAUAAAAUUUCUUUAACCCCGUAACGACUGAUUCCGAUUUUAUUUCGGAAGAGAUAGUGGGUACCAGAUAUUCUGGAAUUAAACCAUUAUCACACGUUGAGCCCCUAUUGAAUAAUAAAUAUCUAAUAGGGUGAUGAUAUAGUCUGUACACAUAGUGAUAUGUGAAUGAUAUGCAUCCUAUCCUGGGGGUGGAGAAGCUCCCAAGGGUUUGGCUGUUCGCCAAUUAAAAGGGUACGCGAGCUGGGUUCAGACCGGCGUGAGCCAGGUUGGUCCCUAUCUGCCGCAGGCGUUGAUGCUUGAGGGAAGUUGUCCAUUGUACGAGAGGAUCCGGAUGAACAAACCUCUGGUGUACCAGUUGUUCCGCCCGGAGCAUUGCUGGGUAGCUAAGUUUGGAAAGGAUAAGCGCUGAAAGCAUAUAAGCGCGAAGCCUCUCCCAAGAUUAAGCAUCGUAGAUUUGUAGAAGAUGACUACAUUGAUAGGCUCUAGGUGUAAGUCCCGCGAGGGAUUAAGCCGAGGAGUACUAAUAAAUCAUUUUACCCUGUAC
RNAcentral lists this ribosomal RNA (4322 nucleotides) under Patescibacteria group bacterium. RNAcentral's name for it is "23S ribosomal RNA". It matches the Rfam family "Bacterial large subunit ribosomal RNA". The record is from RNAcentral.